Molecule: long non-coding RNA, 1668 nt
Organism: Solanum lycopersicum (tomato)
Lineage: Eukaryota; Viridiplantae; Streptophyta; Magnoliopsida; Solanales; Solanaceae
Source: RefSeq, a predicted model, not a curated record
GUUUGUUAAAAUCAGGAUCUCAUUGUUCAUGGAAUCGAUGAUGUAUUGGACCAAAAAUCUCUUCUUGAUCACACAAUCAGAGCAUUGAAAAGACGACGAUUUCACUAUUGUUGUUACUGUGUGAAACAUCAAACGAUCAGAGAUGUAAAGUUUUGCUUCUAUUUUCGUUUCUAUCGCCUUCAGAUAUAGCUUUAUUCUCACAACCUGAUGAUUUCUUUUAUGAUUACCCUCACCAUAUUGUUUUCCGAUGAUGCCGAUUUAGGAGUCUUGCUAGAAAUGCUAGAGGUUUAUGAUUUUGCAGAUCAUUACUCAGAACAAGCCUCUAAUUGUUAAUUUCAUCUAUGAAAAUUUAUCUAUUAGCAGCGUUAUUAUUGAUAAUACGGAGUUUUAUAGAGUUCAUGGUGGAAGUUAAGGGCGAAGAUUGAAUCAUUUGGGUAGGAUGGGUGUGAUUAGUUGGACUUCUACGUGACAUCAUAAUUAAAACUUUGAAAAUCACAUCUUAUUCCGUUAAAUGAAAGGAUAGAAGUGAUCCCAUUGUAAGAUAUGAAGGGUAAUUUUGAACCAAAAGAUAGUUGAAGGGUAUAUGUGCUCUAUUUCAAAUUGUUAAAGGGUAAUUUUGAUCUUUUUCCGUAUUAGAUUUUAGGGUAAAUUUUCAGAUUUUAAUUUUUUUCGAUGAGUAUGUCGGAAUCCGGCGAACUACCACCACUCAAAACCCUCUUCUCUUCUCUGUAAAACAACCCAAAACCUCAUUGUUUUCUACCAGUGAACAUCGACCACUCCCAAAACCCCAAUGCCAUCUCUUUUCUUUUUUCGAUUAGUCUUCCGCCACCAGAGAUAAACCAGCAACCCUUUUUUUUCCAUCUUCUCCUCUCUUUCUUUGAAAACCAAAACCACUGGCCAAAGAUGAGUAGAAACUAGCUCAAACAACCAUUGCUCUACCCAUAACAACCACUUCAAUUUCCGCCAUUUUCGAUUAAAUACCCGACCCCAAACAGCUAACCAAACUACCCAAAACACUCAAGCCGUCCUUUUUCCUCUUUCCUCUUUUCUUGUGGCUGCGACGAAACAACAACUUAAACAACCAUCAAAGAAGUAGUUGAACAGCCAACAAUAGCGUCCAAACACCAUCCAGGUCUCGCCCCAACACCCCCAUUCCCCACUUUCUUCCGACGUAGAAACAACAAGCAGUGACCACUGUGAGGACGACCAGAUCUAAUCAAAUUUACGUUUCUGGCAAACCUAGCAAGUAGAAAGAUCUAAACAACCAUGACACCAUAAUCAGUAAUAUGCGAUUCCUCCGGAGUGAAGUUGUUGGGGGGAAGAGAAGAUAUUUUAUUAAUUUAAAUUGGCUAAUGAAGAAAUUACCGUCGAUUUUGAAGGUCUUUCAUGUCAAUGAGAAGGAUUUUAUUUUCAGUUAUUUAUUUCAUUUGUUUUUUAUUCGUAUUUAUUUAUCACCAACUCUUUUAUUAAGGUACCCCAGAGUUGCUUCUCAUCAAAGCUAUUCCAAUGGAGUUCAAUGUAUUUUAUAUUCAGUAUUGUGUAUAUUAUUGACGUUAGAUAAACAUUAGGCCGAUUAUUACAUUUUUUUUGUGUGUACAUUGUAUAUUGAUUGAACUUGUAUGUUACUUUUAUUUCCUCCUAAAUUUAAAAAAAAAAUGAAUUCAGGGA